Molecule: ribosomal RNA, 358 nt
Filed under: uncultured bacterium #0319-7F21
Lineage: Bacteria; Pseudomonadati; Pseudomonadota; Alphaproteobacteria
Description: bacterial SSU rRNA
Rfam family: Bacterial small subunit ribosomal RNA
Source: RNAcentral
GCGNUAAUACGAAGGGGCUAGCGUUGUUCGGANUCAUUGGGCGUAAAGGGCGCGUAGGCGGCGNUGUUAUUCAGGCGUGAAACCCUGGNNUCAACCCAGGAACUGCGCUUGAUACGGCAGGGCUUGAGGAUGGAAGAGGNCCGCGGAAUUCCCAGUGUAGAGGUGAAAUUCGUAGAUAUUGGGAAGAACACCGGUGGCGAAGGCGGCGGCCUGGUCCAUUUCUGACGCUGAGGCGCGACAGCGUGGGGAGCAAACAGGAUUAGAUACCCUGGUAGUCCACGCCGUAAACGAUGUGCGCUGGAUGUUGGGCGGCCUAGCCGCUCAGUGUCGAAGCCAACGCGGUAAGCGCACCGCCUGG